GGGCUCACACAAGCGGUGGAGCAUGUGGAUCAAUUCGAAGCAACGCGCAGAACCUUACCUGGGUUUGACAUGCACGGAUGCCGUCGAGGAAACUCGAGCCGGCUGCCUUCGGGUGAAACGUGUACAGGUGCUGCAUGGCUGUCGUCAGCUCGUGCUGUGAAGUGUCGGGUUAAGUCCCUUAACGAGCGAAACCCUUGUCGCUAGUUGCCAGCGGGUCAAGCCGGGAACUCUAGCGAGACUGCCGGCGUUAAGCCGGAGGAAGGUGGGGACGACGUCAAGUCAUCAUGGCCUUUAUGCCCAGGGUGUCACACGUGCUACAAUGGGGUGGUACAGAGCGAAGCAAGACCGUGAGGUGGAGCAAAUCGCAGAAAACACCCCUCAGUUCGGAUUGGGGUCUGCAAUUCGACCCCAUGAAGUUGGAAUCGCUAGUAAUCGCGCAUCAGCCAUGGCGCGGUGAAUGUGUUCCUGAGCCUU
This 474-nucleotide ribosomal RNA is filed under the name uncultured bacterium. RNAcentral describes it as "bacterial SSU rRNA". It matches the Rfam family "Bacterial small subunit ribosomal RNA", at positions 917 to 1382 of the family's 1533-position model. The record is from RNAcentral.